Long non-coding RNA from Homo sapiens (human), 40758 nucleotides. RefSeq lists it as uncharacterized. The transcript is spliced from 2 exons. The record is from RefSeq and is a predicted model, not a curated record. NCBI's taxonomy places the organism in Eukaryota, Metazoa, Chordata, Mammalia, Primates, Hominidae.
CUUUUUUAUACUUUAAGUUCUGGGAUACAUGUGCAGUACUUGCAUGUUUGUUACAUAGGUAUAUAUGUGCCAUGGUGGUUUGCUGCACCCAUCAACCUGUCAUCUAGGUUUUAAGUCCUGCAUGCAUUAGGUAUUUGUCCUCAUGCUCUCCCUCCCCUUGUCUCCCAACCCCCGACAGGCCCCAGUAUGUGAUGUUCCCCUCCCUGUGUCCAUGUGUUCUCAUUGUUCAACUCCCACUUAUGAGUGAGAACAUGCGGUGUUUGUUUUUCUGUUCUUGUGUUAGUUUGCUGAGAAUGAUGGUUUCCAGCGUCAUCCAUGUCCCUGCAAAGGACAUGAACUCAUUCUUUUUUAUAACUUCAUAGUAUUCCAUUAUAUAUAUAUAUAUAUAUAUAUAUAUAUAUGCCACUUUUUCUUUACCCAGUCUAUCAUUGAUGGACAUUUGGAUUGGUUCCAAGUCUUUGCUAUUGUAAAUAGUGCUGCAAUAAACUUAAGUGUGCAUGUGUAUUUAUAGUAGAAUGAUUUAUAAUACUUUGGGUAUAUACCCAUUAAUGGAAUUGCUGGGUCAAAUGGUAUUUCUGGUUCUAGAUCCUUGAGGAAUUGCCACACUAUCUUCCACAAUAGUUGAACUAAUUUACACUCCCACCAAUGGUGUAAAAGUGUUCCUAUAUCUCCACAUCCUCUCCAGCAUCGGUUGUUUCCUGACAUUUUCAUGAUUGCCAUUCUAACUGGCAUGAGAUGGUAUCUCAUUGUGGUUUUGAUUUGCAUUUCUGUAAUGACCAGUGAUGAUGAGCUUUUCUUUCAUGUUUUUUGGCCACAUAAAUGUCUUCUUUUGAGAAGUGUCUGUUCAUAUCCUUUGCCCACUUUUUGAUGGGGUUUGUUUUUUUCUUGUAAUUUGUUUAAGUUCCUUGUAGAUUCUGGAUAUUAGACCUUUGUCAGAUGGAUAGAUUGCAAAAAUUUUCUCCCAUUCUGUAGGUUGCCUGUUCACUCUGAUGUUAGUUUCUUUUGCUAUCCAGAAGCUCUUUAGGUUAAUUAGAUCCCAUUUGUCAAUUUUGGCUUUCAUUGCCAUUGGUUUUGGUGUUUUAGUCAUGAAGUCUUUGCCCAUGCUUAUGUCCUGAAUGGUGUUGCCUAGGUUUUCUUCUAGGCUUUUUAUGGUUUUAGGUUUUACGCUUACAUCUUUAAUCCAUCUUGAGUUAAUUUUUGUAUAAGGUGUAAGGAAGGGGAUCCAGUUUCAGUUUUUUGCAUAUGGCUAGCCAGUUUUCCCAUCACCGUUUAUUAAAUAGGGAAUCCUUUCCGUAUUGCUUGUUUUUGUCAGGUUUGUCAAAGAUCAGAUGGUUGUAGGUGUGUGUCAUUAUUUCUGAGGCCUCUGUUCUGUUCCAUUGGUCUAUGUAUCUGUUUUGGUACCAGUACCAUGCUGUUUUGUUUACUGUAGCCUUGUAGUAUAGUUUGCAGUCAGGUAGUGUGAUGCCUCCAGCUUUGUUAUUUUUUGCUUAGGAUUGUCUUGGCUAUACGGGCUCUUUUUUUGUUUCCAUAUGAAAUUUAAAUUAGUUUUUUCCAAUUCUGUGAAGAAAGUCAAUGGUAGCUUGAUGGGAAUAGCAUUGAAUCUGUAAAUUACUUUGGGCAGUAUGGCCAUUUUCAUGAUAUUAAUUUUUCCUAUCCGUGAGCAUGGAAUGCUUUUCCAUUUGUUUGUGUCCUCUCUUAUUUCCUUGAGCAGUGGUUUGUAGUUCUCCUUGAAGAGGUCCUUCACAUCCCUUCUAAAUUGUUUUCCUAGAUAUUUCAUUUUCUUUGUAGCAGUUGUUAAUGGGAGUUCACUCAUGAUUUGGCUGUUUGUCUAUUAUUGCUAUAUAGGAAUGCUUGUGAUUUUUGCACAUUGAUUUUGUAUCCUGAGACUUUGUUGAAGUUGCUUAUCAGCUCAAGGAGUUUUUUGGCUGAGAUGAUGGGGUUUUCUAAAUAUACAAUCAUGUCAUCUGCAAACUGAGACAAUUUGACUUCCUCUCUUCCUAUUUGAAUACACUUUAUUUAUUUAUCUUGCCUGAUUGCCCUGGCCAGAACUUCCAAUACUAUGUUGAAUACGAGUGGUGAGAGAGGGCAUCCUUGUCUCAUGCCAAUUUCCAAAGGGAAUGCUUCCAGCUUUUGCCUGUUAAGUAUGAUACUGGCUAUGGGUUUGCCAUAAAUAGCUCUUAUUAUUUUGAGAUAUGUUCCAUAAAUACCUAGUUAAUUGAGUGUUUUUAGCAUGAAGUGGUGUUGAAUUUUAUCGAAGGCCCUUUCUGCAUUUAUUGAGAUAGUCACGGUUUUUGUCAUUGGUUCUGUUUAUGUGAUGGAUUAUGUUUAUUGAUUUUCAUAUGUUGAACCAGCCUUGCAUCCCAGGGAUGAAGCUGACUUGAUCAUGGUGGAUAAGCUUUUUGAUGUGCUGCUGGAUUCAGUUUGCCAUAUUUUAUUGAGGAUUCUCACAUUGAUGUUCAUCAGGGAUAUUGGCCUGAAAUUUUCUUUUUUUGUUGUGUCUCUGCCAGGUUUUGGUAUCAGGAUGAUGCUGGUCUCAUAAAAUGAGUUAGGGAGGAGUCCUUGUUUUUCUAUUGUUUGGAAUAGUUUCAGAAGGAAUGGGAUGAGCUCCUUUUUGUCCCUCUGGUAGAAUUUAGCUGUGAAUCCGUCUGGUCCUGGGCUUUUUUUGGUUGGUAGGCUAUAAAUUACUGCCUCAAUUUCAGAACUUGUUAUUGGUCUAUUCAGGGAUUCGACUUCUUCCUCAUUUAGUCUUGGGAGAGUGUAUGUGUCCAGGAUUUUAUGCAUUUCUUCUAGAUUUUCUAGUUUAUUUGCAUAGAGGUGAUGGUAGUUUGUAUUUAUGUGGGAUCAGUGGUGAUAUUCCUUUAUCAUUUUUUACUGUGUCUAUUUGAUUCUUCUCCCUUUUCUUCUUUGCUAGCCUGGCUAUCUGUGUGUCUACUUUGCUAAUCUUUUCAAAAAACCAGCUCCUGGAUUCAUGGAAUUUUUGAAGGGUUUUUCAUGUCUCUAUCUCCUUCAGUUCUGCUUUGAUCUUAGUUAUUUCUUGUCUUCUGCUAGCUUUUUAAUUUGUUUGCCUUUGCUUUUGUAGUUCUUUUAAUUGUGAUGUUAGGGUGUCAAUUUUAGAUCUUUUCUGCUUUCCGAUGUGGGCAUUUAGUGCUAUAAAUUUUCCUCUAAAGACUGCUUUAGCUGUGUUAGAGAUUCUGGUACAUUAUGUCUUUGUUCGCAUUGGUUUCAAAGAAUUUAUUUCUGCCUUAAUUUUCUUAUUUACCCAGUAGUUAUUAAGGAGCAGGUUGUUCAGUUUCCACGUAGUUGUGCUGUUUUGAGUGAGUUUCUUAAUCCUGAGUUCUAAUUUGAUUGCGCUGGUUUUUCCUUUCCAGAUUUAGUGCUUCCUUCAGGAGCUCUUGUAAGGCAGGCCUGGUGGUGACAAAAUCUCUCAGCAUUUGCUUGUCUGUAAAGGAUUUUAUUUCUCCUUUGCUUAUGAAGCUUAGUUUGGCUGGAUAUGAAAUUCUGGCUUGAGAAUUCUUUAAGAAUGUUGAAUAUUGGCCUCCACUUUCUUCUGGCUUGUAGGGUUUCUGCAGACAGAUCCACUGUUAGUCUGAUGGGCUUCCCUUUGUAGGUAACCCGACCUUUCUCUCUGGCUACCCUUAACAUUUUCUCCUUCGUUUCAACCUUGGAGAAUCUGACAAUUAUGUGUCUUGGGGUUGCUCUUCUCGAGGAGUAUCUUAGUGGUGUUCUUUGUAUUUCCUGAAUUUGAAUGUUGGCCUGUCUUGCUAGGUUGGGGAAGUUUUCCUGGAUAAUAUCUUGAAGUGUGUUUUUUUAACUUGGUUCCAUUAUCCCUGUCACUUUCAGGUACACCAAUCAAUCGUAGGUUUGGUCUUUUCUCAUAGUCCCCUAUUUCUUGGAGUCUUUGUUCAUUCCUUUUCAUUCUUUUUUCUCUAGUCUUGUCUUCACACUUUAUUUAGUUGAUCUUCAAUUUCUGAUAUCCUUUCUUGCGCUUGAUUGAUUCAGCUAUUGAUACUUGUGUAUGUUUCAUGAAGUUCUGCUGUGGUUUUCAGCUCCAUCAGGUCAUUUAUGUUCUCUCUAAACUGGUUAUUCUAGUUAGAAGUUCCUGUAACCUUUUAUCAAGGUUCUCAGCUUCCUUGCCUGGGUUAGAACAUGCUCCUUUAGCUCAGAGGAGUUUGUUAUUGCCUACCUUCUGAAGCCUACUUCUGUCAAUUCGUCAAACUCAUUCUCUGUCCCGUUUUGUGCCCUUGCUGGAGAGGAGUUGUGAUCAUUUGGAAAAGAGACAUUCUGAUUUUUGGAAUUUUCAGCAUUUUGCCCUGGUUUUUCCUCAUCUUCUCGGAUUUAUCUACCUUUAGUCUUUGAUGUUGAUGACCUUUGGAUGCGGUUUUUGUGUGGGUGUCCUUUUUGUUGAUGUUGAUGUCCUUGCUUUCUGUUUGUUGGUUUUCCUUUUAACAGUUGGUCCCCUCUUCUGCAGGUCUGCUGGAGUUUGCUGGAGGUCCACUCCAGACCCUGUUUGCCUGGGUAUCAACAGCAGAGGCCUCAGAACAUCAAAGAUUGCUGCCUGCUUCUUCCUCUAGAUGCCCUGCCCAGUGAGGAGGAAUCUAAAGAGGAAGUCUGGCCACAGUCGCUUUUCUGUGCUGGGGUGAAUUCCACACAGUCUGAACUUCCCGGUUGCUUCCUUAACACUGUGUGGGGAAAACCGCCUACUCAAGCCUCAGUAAUGGCAGACUUCCCAACCCCCACCAAGCUCAAGCAUCUCAGGUCAGUUUCAGACUGCUGAGCUGGCAGCCACAAUUUCAAGCCAGUGGUUCUUAGCUUGCUGGAACCCAGCAAGCUAAGAGUGGGAGUGGGACCUGCUGAGUGAGACCACUUGGCUCCUUGGCUUCAGCCCCCUUUCCGGGGGUGUGAACGAUUCUGUCUCGCUGGGGUUUCAGGCGCUCCUGGGGUACGAAAAAUAAACCCCUGCAGCUAGCUCAGUGUCUGCCCAAACAGGCACCCAGUUUUGUGCUUGAAACCCAGGGCCCUGGUGGUAUAGACAUAUGAGGGAAUCUCCUGGUCUGCAGUUUGUAAAAACUGUGGGAAAACUGUAGUAUCUGGGUUGGAUAGCACAGUCCCUUGACUAGGUGAGGGAGGUCCCUGGACCCUUGCACUUCCCGGGUGAGGUGACGCCCCACCCUGUUUCUGCUUGCCCUCCAUGGGCUACACCCACUGUCUAACCAGUCCCAGUGAGAUGAACCGGGUACCUCAGUUGGAAAUGCAGAAAUCACCCGCCUUCUGUGUUGUUCUCGCAGGGAGCUGCAGAUGGGAGCUGUUGCUAUUCAGUCAUCUUGCCCAGGAACAACUAGAGUUAAAUUUAAAUACAGAAGCUGGAAAAUCUGAUAUAAAAAUCAGUUGCUGUAUUUAAGAUUUUAGGAAGAUUGACAGCUUUUCCUUUACUUUUUGUUUUCCUUUCCACCUUUCUUAAGGCUUGGUUUCAGCCCUAUUAUACAUAUUUACUUUUAUCAGAAAGGAUCAGAAAUGUUUUUUGAGUGUAAUGAACAGGCAUAAAUACUUUUUCAAAACAUUUUUCUUAAAACAUUUUUCUAAAAAUAUUUUUCUUUUUCAAAGUUUUUUUUUUUUUUUUGAGACAGAGCCUCGCUCUGUCGCCCAGGCUGGAGUGCAGUGGUGCAAUCUUGGCUCACUGCAAGCUCUGCCUCCUGGGUUCACACCAUUCUCCUGCCUCAGCCUCCCGAGUAGCUGGGACUACAGGUGCCUGCCACCACACCUGGCUAAUUUUUUUUUGUAUUUUUAGUAGAUGCGGGGUUUCACCGUGUUAGCCAGGAUGGUCUUGAUCUCCUGACCUCAUGGCAGUAGAGCUGAGUAAUUUAUAUCCUUAAUAUCAGACACUGAAUUUUGACAGUUCAAGAAGACUUUUAUACUAUAUUUCAGCAUUAAUAUGUAUGUAUUUUUCCCAGGAAAUCAAGAUUAAUGUGAUCUGGACCAAUUAAAUAAAUUUAAAGUUAUUUAAUUCGUUUAUGGAAAAAUGAUACAUUAUUUGUAGCAAAGCCAAGCCUAAAUUUUCUCUGAAGCAAAUCCUAACCCUCCAUUUACAUUUUUCUCUUUUUUCCUCUUUCUUCCCACAAACCAAGUCCUUGUUAAAACUAACGUUGCUGAAAAUUUAGUGAAGAAUAAAAAGAUAAUUGUCUCUAAGCCCAUGUUUCAGUAUUUUAAAAAAUAUGGGUAUUUUUUUACAGCAUUCCAAUUUGGCUGCCUCAAGCAGUAACAGCACAUGAGAUUUAUUAAUUGAUCAUCAGUACAUAACUGUCUUCUAAAUUUGUAUGAAAUAGUGUCUCAGUAAGACCUACCUCCAUCUGAGGCAAUGAAUUUCAGCUUGGAACAGUAGAACUGCUCCAAUCAGUGAUGGUUAAAUUAUAGCUAUAGGAGAAUAUGACAAAGGAAAACUUUUGGGCCAACAUGUAGAAAGAUCAGAAAUAGGAUUUAGCAGUCACUCAUAGAAUGUUCUUAAAAAGAAGUUUCCUCAAGCCAGCUGUAUUCAGUAUAGUACGUAUAUUGAUGGAAGCUAAUUCUCUAUUGUGCUUUUGUGUUUCAAAAUAAGUUGACCUUACUGUAUACUAGAAGACCACUAGCUUCAAAAAUCGCUCUUCAGUGAUGGAAAUAUAAUAUAUAAGCAUUCUUAAGGAAAAUCUCCCAUUCCUCUGGUCUUUGUGCUCAAAUGUUAGCUACAAUAGAUACGCUACUUCCGCUAUCCUUUCUAAACUGGAAAAGCUGAAGUCUUCUCAGGAGAAAUGUCUAGUCAAGCCCUUAGCCCAUUUUUUUGUUGUUGUUGUUGGCUUAUAUUAGUUUUUUUGCUUUGAGCUCUAUUAAUUCCUUGUACAUUCUGGGGAUUAGCACUUAUCAGAUAUGUUGUUUUCAUGAAUAUUUUCUCCCAUUGUGUAGGUUGCGUUUUCACUCUGUCAGUGUUUCUUUUGCUGUGCAGAAGAUUUUUAGUUUGAUAUAGUCCUACUUAUUUAUUUUGCUUUUGGGUUCACAUCCAUAAAAUCACCACCAAGACCAAAGUCAAGGAGUCCUGAUCCCAUGUUUUCUUCUAGGAGUUUUAUAGUUUCAGGUCUUAGGUUUAAGUCUUUAAUCCAUUUUGAGUUGAUUUUGUAUACAGGGUAAGAUAAGGGCUCAAUUUUAUUCUUGUACAUGUGAAUAUUCAGUUUUCCUCACCACAUUUGUUGAAAAAGACUAUCAUUGUUCCAACAUGUAUUCUUUGCAUCCUUGCCAAAGGUCAGUGAUCAUAUAUGUGUAGGUUUACUUUGGAGUUCUCUAUUUUUCCAUUGGUCUAUAUGGCUGUCCUUAUGCCAGUACCAUGUACCAUACUGUUUUUUGAUUACUGUAGCUUCAUAAAAUAUUUUGAAAUCAGGAAAUGCAGUGCCUCUAGCUUUGUUCUUUGUCAGGAUUGAUUUGGUUCAUAAUCUUUUGUUCUAUAUGAAGUAUAUAACCUUUUUUCUAUUUCUGUAAAACAUGUCUUUGAAAUUUUGAAGGGAUUGCAUUGAAUCUGAAAAUUGCUUUGAGUAGUAUAGACAUUUGAACAAUAGUAAGUUUUCCAAUUCAGCAACACAGGAUGUAUUUACAUUUGUUGUCUUUUGUUUAAUUUCUUUCAGCAAUGUUUUGUAGUUUUUAGUAUAUAAAUCUUUCACCUCUUUUUUCCCUAGGUUUAUUCUUAUUUCAAAGUAUUUUAUUCUUUUCAGUACUUUUGUAAAUGAGAUUGCUUUCAUAAUUUCCUUUUCAGGUAGUUUGUUGUUAGUGUAUAGAAAGGCAACUUAUUUUUGUAUGUUGGUUUUGUAUCCUGCAACUUAACUGAAUUCAUUUGUUAUUUAUAGUAUAUAUUUUUAAGUAUUUGUGGUUUUCUUUUUUAUUUUAGAGAUAGGAUCUUGUUCUCUCACCUGAGUUGGAGUGCAGUGGUGCGAUCAUAGCUCACUGAAACCUUGAACUCUUGAGCUCAAGUGAUCCUCCUGCCUCAGCGUUUCAAGCACCUGGGACCACAGGUAUGUGCCACCAUACCUGGCUAAUUUAAAAAUUUUUCUUUUGUAGAGGCAAGGUCUCACUAUGUUGACAAGGCUGAUUUUGAACUCUUAAACUCAAGUGAUCCUCCCGUCUUGGCCUCCCAAGUGCUGAGAUUACAGAUGUGAACCACUGUGCCCAGCCUGGGGUUUUCUAUAUAAGAUCAUGUUGUUAGCAAACAGGGAUAUUUUUACUUCUUUCCAAUUCAGAUGCCUUUUAUAUUUUGUUUUGUUUUUGAAUUGCACUGUCUAGGACUUUCAGUAUUAUGUUAAAUAGAAGUGGUGAGAGUGGGCAUUCUUGUUUUGUUCCUGAUUUUAGAGGAAAAGCUUUUAUUUUUUUCACAGUUGUGUAUGAUGUUAGCUGUGGGCUUUUCAUACACAGCCUUUAUUGUGUUUAGGUAUUUUUCUUUUAUUUCUAGUUUGUUGAGAGUGUGUCUCUGAAACCGUGUUGAACUUAGUUAAAUGCUUUUUCUGCGUCUUUUGAGAUGAUCAUAUGGUAAAAAUAUUUUAUUCUGGUAAUGUGGUAAAUCAUACUAAUUGAUUUUCAUGUGUUGAGACCCUGUGUUUCUUCUAGUAGGUUUAAAGUUGAAAUCUUAUAUGUUUUUAGUUGAUUUUUAUAUAUGGUAUGAGUUAAGGUUCCAAUUUCAUUCUUCUGCUUGUGAUUAUGCAGUUUUCCCAACACUAUUUGUUGAAGAGACCGUCCUUUUCCAUUAUGUGUUCUUGGUCCUUUUGUGAAAAAUCAACUGACUCUUAAUUUAUUCCUAAGUUCUUUUUUUGAUGCUCUUAUAAAUGGGAUUGUUAUCUUGAUUUCCUUUUUAAGAUAGUUCACUGUUAGUGUAUAGAAAUGCUACUGAUGUUUGUAUGUUGAAUUUGUAAUGUGCAAACUUUACUGAACUUAUCAGUUCUAGCAGUUUAUUGGUGAAAUCUAUAGUGCUUUCUUAAUAUUAAAUCAUGUCAUCAAUGGAGAUGAUAUCACUCCUUUCGUAUAUGGAUGCCUUUUAUUUCUUUUUCUUGCCUAAUUGCUCUGGCUAGGACUUCCAGUACUUUGUUGAAUAGAAAUGGUGAGAAUAGGCUUCUUUGUUUUGUUUCUGAUCUUGGAGGAAAAGCUUUCAACUUUUCACCAUUGAGUAUGAUGUUAGCUGUGGGCUUGUCAUACAUGGCCUUUAUUGUGUUGAGGUAUAUUCCUUCCAUACCUUUUGUUUUUUGUGAGAGUUUUCAAUAUUAAUGGAUGUUGAACUUUGUCAAAUGCUUUUUUUUUGCAUCUAUUGAAAUGAUCAUGUGGUUUUUGUGCUUCAUUCUGUUGAUUUGAUGUAUCACAUUUAUUUGCAUAUGUUGAACCAUCCUUGCAUCCCUGAUAGAAUUUCCAGUUGAUCAUACUGAAUGAUCUUUUUGAUGUACUGUUGAGGAUUUUUGUGUCUGUUCAUCAGGGAUAUUAGUGUAUAGUUUUCUUUGCUGUGUCUUUGAUUUGGUAUCAGGUAAUGCUGGUCUCAUGGAAUGAGUUAGGGAGAUUUCCUCAUCUUCAAUUUUUUGAAAUAGUUUGAAGAGGAUUGGUAUUAAUUUUUCUUUAAUUCAGUAGUGAAUCCACCUGGUCCUGGGCUUUUCUUUGUUGAGAGACCUUUUAUUACUGAUUCAAUCUUGCUACUCAUUAUUGUCUGUUCAGGUUUUUUAUUUCUUCCUAAUUAAUGCUUGGUAGGUUGUAUGCUUCCAGAAAUUAUCCAUUUUCUUUAGAUUUUUCAAUUUGUUAGCAUAUAGUUAUUCUUAAUAGUCUAGGAUGAUGUUCCAUAUUUCUGUAGUAUCAGUUGUAAUGACUCCUUUUUCAUUUCUGAUUUUGUUUAUGUGGAUCUACUGUGUUCUUUUUUUGGUUAGUCUAACUAGUGAUUUAUCAAUUUUACUUAACUUUUCCAAAAACAAACUUUUCAUUUCAUUGAUGCUUUGUAUUGCUUUUUUAGUCUUCAUUUUGUUUAGUUCAGAUCUGAUAUUUUUUGUUUCUCUUUUGCUGCUGACUUUGGGAUUGGCUCGUUUCUGCUUUUCUGGUUCCUUGCAGUGCAUUGUUAUUUAUUUAAAAUCUUUCUAUUUUUUUGGUGUAGGCAUUUAUUACUAUAAACUUCCCUCUUGGCACUGUUUUUCUGUAAAAUACAAGUUUUGAUAUGCUAUAUUCUCUUUUUCAAAAAAUUUCUGUUUCAAGAAAUUUUAAAAUAUUUAUCUUAAUUUCAUCAUUGACCCCAUCAUUUCUCAGGACCAUGUUGUUUAAUUUCCAUGAAUUUGGAUAGCUUUCAAAGUCCCUCUUGGUAUUGAUUCCAAGUUUUAUUCCACUGUAGUCUGAGAAGAUACCUAAUAUGAUUUUGACUUUCUAAAAUUUGUUGAGGCUUGUUUUGUGGCCUAACAUAUGGUCUGUUCUGGAGAAUGUUUCAUGUUCUGAUUAGAAGAAUAUUUAUUUUGCAGUUGUUGGAAAAAAAUGUUCUGUAAAUGUCUAUUAGGUUCAUUUUGUCUAAAGUCCACUUUAAAUCCAAUGUUAAUUUGCUUAGUUUCUAUCUAAAUUGUCUGUCUAAUGCUGAUAGUCCCCACUAUUAUUAUAUUGGAGUUUAUCACUUUAGAUCUCAUAAUGUUUUCUUUAUGAAUCUGGGUGGUGUGUGUGUUUGGUGGUAGUGGCAGGUUGAGUGGACCUGACCUCAGAUCCCAUGAGGGGUGCUCAGGUGUGCCACUGGUAGUGGACUUGGCUGGGCAUUCCCCAGGGCUUUGGACAGUGUGCUCAGGUACUGGAGUCGGGGGUUGGAUCCAGGCUGGGCUGUGCUCUUAGAUCGUCAAGUAGUGCAUAUAGAUGCUAGCGGUGGUAUGCAGUGGUGGAAUGGACCCUAGACCCCCCAGCAGAAUGCUCAAUUGGAAGUCACAGUGGCUGUGCUGUGCCCCUGCUACUGGGGAGGACUUAGGCAGGUAGCAGUCUUAGGCAGGCAGCUAGGAGGCAUGGGCUUUGCUGGUGCAGCUGUGGCAGUUGCAGACAGUGGAAUUUGUCCUUGAGGGUGUGUGAGAAUGCUUGACAAACCCUCUGCAGUGGGGUAGGUUUGCUGCUGGUGACUCUCUCCUCACCCCAGCUGUAGGGUAGUAUGCAGUCCAGUGUGGAGUAGGCUCUUAAAGUGGUGCUGUGCUGCCACUGCUUAGGAUUCAGGGUUUUGUGGGAUCCAGUGUGUGCUCUCUGGAGCUGUGCCUUUGUGCAGUUUCUAGGGAGCUUCUUUUGUUAGCCUCAGGGCUAGUGAAUGUUGAGGGGCUCUCCUGAGGCUAGGAUUAUAGGAAUCCUUUUGGGAAUGUGGGUUGCUGGGGCUCCCUCACUUAUCUUUUUCCAAGCUUGGGGAGUCUCUCCUGGCUCAUAGCCAAUCUCAGUCUCCACCAAGGAGGCUGUCGCGCUUCCCUCUUUUUCCUUGCUUUAGGUGUUUCCUGUCACUUCUCUGUUGAAUUCCAGUGUUCUUUCCUGGAUGAUCUAUUUGAUGUGUGACUACUGACUAGUUUUGUUCUUCUUAGCGGAGGAGUCGAGUAGAUGCCUCUGAUCAGACAUCUUGAAGCCUCUCCCAUUAGGUUGUUUGAGAUAUUUCUCCUAUUUUGGCGUAGGUUUUUAUUGCUAUAAACUUUCAGGACUGCUUUUGCUGCAUUUUGUAAGCUUUGGUAUGUUGUAUUUCCAUUUUUGUUUGUCUCAAGAUAUUUUUAAAUUUCCUUUUUAAUUUCUUCUUUGACUCAUUGGUAGUUAAGGAGCAUGCUGUUUAAUUUUCACAUACUUGUGAAUUUUCCAAGAUUCCUCCUGUUAUUAUUAUCUAGUUUCAUGCCAUUGUGGCUAGAAAAGAUAUUUGAUAUGAUUUCAGUCUUUAUACAUUUGUUAAGACUUGUUCUGUGACCUAACUAAUAAUCUAUCCUGGAGAAUGUUCUAUGUGGUGAUGAGAAGAAUAUUCUGCAAUUGUUGGAUAAAACGUUUUGUAAAUGUCUGUUAGGUCCAUUUGGUAUAAAUUGUAAUUCAAGUCCAAUAUUUUCUUGUCUGCCUCUUUCUGCAGAUAUUGUAAUAUUUGCUUUAUAUAUUUAGGUGCUGUAAUGUUGGAUGCAUGUAUAUUUAUAAUUGUUAUAUCUGCUUGAUGAAUUGACCCUAUAAUGAUCUUUUUUGUCUGUUUUACAGUUUUGAUUUAAAGUCUAUUUUGUCCAUAUUCUCUUUUGGUUUUUAUUUGUGUGAAAUAUCUUUUUUCCAUCCCUUUACUUUCAGUCUUUGUGAGUCCUUAAAGGUGAAGUGAGUCACUUGUAGGCAACAUAUAGAUAAGUCUUGUUUUUUUAUUCGUUCAGCCACUCUGUGUCUUUUGAUUGGAAAAUUUAAUCCAUUUACAUUCAAAGUAAUUAUUCAUAGGUGAGGUCUUACUAUUGCCAUUUUGUUAAUUGUUUUCUAGUUAAUUUGUAGACCCUUUGUUUCUCUCUUCCUCUGUUGCUGUCAUCCUUUGUGGUUUGAUAAUUUUCCAUAGUGGUAUUAUUACAAGUUAGACAGGCAUUAGUGGGGCAGAAGAGGGCUCUCCCCCACCCACUAGGAAUGUCAGGUGAUGGUUCGACUGACAGUUAUCACAAUGAUAAUUUGGCAGCUGGCACCAGGAACAGACAAUCUCCUAAUGGUCCACAAGCUGUUAACAUUAAAGUGUUAAUUGAAUGCAGACACCAGGGAGAAGCAAAAAGGGCUUCCAAUAAAAUCUCAGGUAUUGGGCUAGUGAGCCUGGGCACAUGCAUUCAGUGACAAAAUGGCUGAGUAUGACCUUCCAGGGUCACUCCACUGGAAAAGGGAAGAAAGCCUCAGAUGAGCAUGUGUACAACUUCCUGAACACACUGUACAUGCACACUUCCCAAGCAUAAGGAGGGCACUGUGCAUGCAGGCAGCCCAUCCUAAGGGAAGAAUCAAGGAAAAAGGUUGCAAGACGCCGGAGGUGGGCCAGCCUGUAAACUCCUAGGAUCAAGGUUAAAUGCUGCAUUUGACCUUCUCGGUGCCUGCUUGGGUCUCUUCCGAGUGUACUUUCCUUUCUUUCCUGCUCUAAAGCUUUUUAAAUAAACUUCCACUCCUGUUCUGAAACUUGCCUCAGUCUCUUUUUCUUUUUUUUUUGAGAUGGAGUCUUGCUCUGUUGCCCAGGCUGGAGUGCAGUGGCAUUAUCUCAGCUCACUGCAACCUCUACCUCCUGGGUGCAAGUGAUUUUCCUGCUUCAGCUUUCUGAGUAGCUGGGAUUACAGGCAUGCACCAUGCCCAGCUUUGUAUUUCUUUUUUUUUUUUUAGUAGAGAUGGGGUUUCACCAUGUUGGCCAGGCUGGUCUCGAACUCCUGACUUCGUGAUCAACCCACCCCAGACUCCCAAAGUCCUGGUAUUACAGGCGUGAGCCACCGUGUCCGGCCCUCAGUCUCUUUUUCUGUCUUAUGCCCCUCAGUCGAAUUCUUUCCUGAGGAGGCAGGAAUUGAGGUUGCUGCAGACCUGUACAGAUUUUGCCCAUGGUAACUAGGAUACCUUACACUGGUAAUGGUGUGCUUUGAAUUCUUUAUUUUUAUCCUGUGUAUAUCUACUAUAGGUUUUUGCUUUGUAGUUAUCAUUAGGCUUGCAUAAAACAUUUUAUACUAAUAACAGGCUGUUUUAAGCUGAUAAUAACUUAACUUUGAUCACUUGCACAAACUCAACUCUUUUACUCCCCCCUCUCAGUUUGUUUUGUUGACAUGUUUUGUAUAUUUUAUGGUUUGUGUCCCUUGACAAAUUAGUAGCUGUAGUUGUUUUUAAUAGAUUUGUUUUUUUUGUUUGUUUUUUUUUUAAAGAAAGGUAGGAGGAUCACUUGAGGCCAGGAUGAAGAAAGCCUACUUAAUAUAACAAGACCCUGUCUCUACAAAAAAAUAAAAUAAAAUAAAUUAGGCAUGGUGGCAUGUGCCUGUAGUCACAGCUACUGGGAAGGCUGAGGCAGAGGAUGGCUUGAACCCAGGAGUUCAAGGCUGCAGUGAGCCAUAGUCACACCACUGCACUCCAGCCUGAGUGACACAGUGAGAUCCUGUCAACAACAACAACAAUAACAAAACACAAAGAAAAAGUGAGUAUUGAAAUAGUCUAAAGUGAAGGAAUAAAAAGAUAAUGUCUUAUGAAAAGGGAAUGUUAAAAUGAAAGCUUCCUAACUUGUUUCAAUGUAGCUAGCUCCUGAAGAAGUUAAAAGUCCAUCUUGGAAGGAUUUUAGAAGUGGUAAAUUAGGUCUAGGGUUCAUAGGAAAAACAAAAAAAAACUGCUUGAAGAUGAAGAAAACACGCACAGAAUAGCCUAUGCAAAUAGACUCUGGUAAUAACUCUAAUGACUCAGACACCAUAGAAAAUCUCAGAUUUAGGAACUUCUGGUCUGGCUCCUGAUUUGAGAUGAUACAAGUUGUAUUAUAAACUGAUUAGGUACAGAAGGGCCCAGAGCAUCUGAGUAGGAUGGUUCAUGAGACACAGUUAAGGAGUAGAAGCAAAAGACUUUCAGACCAAUUGGGGUGUGUGAUAAAUAAAGCUUAAUUUUGAAAUUUGAGAUGCAUUUUAUUUGGCAGAAUUCUUGGUAAGCUGGUCUCUUAAGAAAAGCAAUCAUCCUCAGGUGCAAAAACCUUAUCCUAAGAGCCUGGUAAGAAGGGUAAUAAUUUGAAAAGAUACAGAGACUAAUGAAGAAAACAAUGCUAUAAGUGUGACAUUUUGGGAGGAGAGAGAAAUGUCAAGAGGCAUUUUAGGCAACUUUCUAUAUGAUGUGUGCUAUAUACAACUUUGGCUGGGUGCGGUGGCUCAUGCCUGUAAUCCCAGAACUUUGGGGGGCUGAUCACUUGAGGUCAGGAGUUUGAGACCAGCUUGACCAACAUAGUGAAACCCUGUCUCUACUAAAAAAUACAAAAAUUAGUCAGGUGCGGUGGCGGGUGCCUGUAAUCCCAGCUACCUGGGAAUCUGAGGCAGGAGAAUCGCUUGAACCUGGGAGGCGGAAGUUAGAAGAGCCAAGAUCAUGCCACUGCCCUCCAGCCUGGGCGACAAAGCUAGACUCCGUCUCAAACAAACAAACAAACAAACAAACAAACAAAAAACCAACUUAGUCUGUGUUGUACUUGUCAGGAAAACUACAGUAAAUAUCUGUUUUUCAAGGCUUCUGAAUUACCAUUUUUUGAUAAGUUUGAUAAGGAGAAAUAGGCUAUAUAAAAGCCCACAUACAUUUAGAUUAUGUGUGUAUCUUCUCUUACCUAGGGUUAUCCAGUAUAUUUCCUUUUAAAGGAAACAUCUUUCCCUCUAAACACUGAAUACAUAAUUCAGAAAUUCUCUGAGAGGUUGAAAAUUAUUUCCUCACAUUUGGAGAUAAGAAUAUAAAAUAUUAAUUCACUUUUUUAAAAAAGAGAGUAAAUCAUUGUUUCUUUUACCGUCACCUACUGCAUAACAUUCCACAUCUAACCCCCUUUGUAUGGCCAUAGCGUAUAUCUUAUUGAGAUUAAAUACACUUUUUACACAAACCAAAUAAUUCUUUUAGUUUUCUAGAUAACUGGCAUCAUAAUACUUCUGUUUCUGUUUUUUUAAAAUUGGGACCUAUUUUGUUAUUACCCUAUAUUACUAGUGUAAUAAAAUAAUAUCACUUAAUGUUCUCAUAUCCUUUAAUUAUAGACUGAGUAGUGUUGGAGGAAAGUCCCUGGGGCCUAGUAGAGGGACAAGUUGUGGACUGUUAGACAUGGUCUAACAGUCUAAAGCUCUAAGCAGCCAACUAAAUUGUUUGAAGUAUAAAAGUGGCAAAUGCAAUCUUCAUAUUUAUUUGGUGACUGCAGUAAGUAGCAUCUGUAAUUUUCAAAGACCACGUAAAAUCAAUACCACAGAGAGGAUCAAGGCUAGCUAUAGCCCUGAAAAUCCAGCACAGUCCCAAGCCUCCCUUUGUAUAACAAAUAUGUUAUUAUUUCUCCUUUAUAAUCUUAACACGGAAUUCUUAGAUAAUUUAACCUACCUACAUGCAAAAAUUUAGGAAAAUAAAUGUAAUGCCCUAGUUGUAAAAUAAAAAAGGAAUAAAAAUAAAACAAUAAAUACAUUCCAGUUUGUAAAUCCAUGAGCACAAUUACAAUUACACUUGAAGACAUAAUGAUGUGUAUCUUUUUUUUUUUUUUUUUUUUUUUUUUGAGAUGGAGUUUCUCUCUCGUUGCCCAGGCUGGAGUGCAAUGGCAUGAUCUCGGCUCACCACAACCUCCACCUCCUGGUUUCAAGCAAUUCUCCUGCCUCAGCCUCCCAAGUAGCUGGGAUUACAGGCAUGUGCCACCACGCCUAGCUAAUUUUGUAUUUUUAGUAGAGAGAGGGUUUCUCCACGUUGGUCAGGCUGGUGUCAAACUCCCUACCUCAGGUGAUCUGCCCAACCUUGGCCUCCCAAAGUGCUGGGAUUACAGGCGUGAGCCACCGUGCCUGGCCAAAUGAUGUGUGUCUAUACAUAGAAAGCAUGUUGAAUGCAAUAGUUAAUAAUGCACAUUGUAUUGUAUUAUACAUUGAAGGAGCAUAAUUGAUGGUGACAUUUUUUCCAAAAUAUUGAGAAACUCUUUGCUAAGUUCUGGGUAGAACAAAUACAUUUUUCCCUUGAUUACAUGGUACCACAUAUAUGGUUACUGCAUAAAGAAUGCCAGACAUACUUUGUAUUUACAUGUGAAGUGGAGUUAGGUUCCAGGCCCAAGUAAUUAUAAAUAAGUUUUCACUUGCAGAAAUCAGGCAAAUUGCCAUUUCAUUUUUAAGUGUAUAGUCCUAGUGAUCAUAUUGCAGUAUAUCUGGCAUGUCUGGCCCCCACCCUUUAAAUGCCACUAGUAUUCCUCCCAAUUAUUUUGACAACUAAAAAAGUUUCCCACCAUUUUCACCUCUGUUGAAAUAUUGCUCUCCUACAUUUCCUUGAGGUUUAACUGUUACAGUGUUAAUGGAAAGAAUAACACAUCUAUCAAUUGAACAUAUGAGGUCCACAAGUAAUAGGCUCCUGUUGGCUGUUUUAACAAAAGUUUUUUUUUUUUUUUUUUUGACUUGUAACGCUAGCUAUCUUUAGGUCUCUAGAUAUUGCACCCUCCAUAUGCAAUCAGAUUCUAAAACUUCUGAUAAAAAAUGCAUCUCCUGGAAAUGUCUGUGAAAAGGUUUGUAGACAACUAGUCAGUGUGGUAGACAGAACAAUGGAACCUAAGAAUAUGUAUAUGUUAUCUUGGCACAAGGGACUUUGCAGGUGUGAUCAAAUUAAGGAUCUUGAGGUGGAGAGAUUAUUCUGGAUUAUCUGGGUUGUCCCAGUGUGAUCACAAGGGUCUUAAUAUGGGAAAGGGGGAGGCAGGGGAGUCAGAUCAGAUUCAGAGAGAGAUUUGAAGAUGCGAUACUGCCGGCUUUAAAUGCCCAUUGAACUCUGCUUCAAAAAAUGAAAACACACCUCUAUAAAAUGUAUAUUGGGAAUAAACUUUGUAUUUACAUACAUUGGGGAAUUUUAAAAAAAUGUAAUGUUUGGACAUUACAUAUUUUACCAUAUUACUUUGCUAUAUUUGGACAUUCCAUAUUUUACCAUAUUACUUUGUUAUAAAAUUAUAAAUUUAACUUUUAAUACAGAUUGCCAGAAUAUUCUAGAUUAGAGAUUAGGUUUUUGUUUUCCUCAAGACAUAAAACAAGUAUGAACAUUCUAAACUGCUGGAUGAAUCUGAAAGACAGUAAUUUCAAAACUCAAUUUAUACUCAUGUUAAAUAUAACUACAUUAAGAGUUUAAAAUUUCAUGGGAGAAAAUAUAAUAAAGAGAUAGGAUCAUUUAUAGUCUUAAGAAUAAUGUUGGUUUCCCAAGUGCGUUUCUUAGCAAUUAAAGCAUAAGGUGAAUUGAAAUUUGCUUCAUAGGCAGUUUGACUGUAUGUAUCAGAGAAUGAAAAGAGGACAUUUGUAGUAAUGCAUGGAAACUUGCUGCUUCAAAUUAAAGUUCUCCUCUGCUGUUGUAGAAUGGAUUCCAUACAGUAGCUAGUUGUGGAUGAUUCAGAAAAUUAUGAGUUUAGAGUCCCAGUUGUUAAUUUAUAAGUUUUGUGGGGAAGUAUCACCUGCAUUUGUGCUGAAUAAAAUAUACGUGGAUUCUUUAAAAAAAAUCACAAUUUUUUUCUAAAUUUAUUUUUUAAAAAGUUUUUAGAGAGAAUAAAUACAAAAUUAGUCAAUUUGAACAUGUUUUGUUCACAUUCUUUAAAUUGCUUGUUGGUCUCCUUAACAAUUUUUCUUUUCCUUUGACCCUCUGCUUUUCUCAUUUUUAUUUUCCUCCUUGAAGAAACGAUUCAUUCUAAGGGCUUUAAACAUUUCUUUUUGUGUUGAUGUUUAAAUCUUUUAUUAUUAGUCUCAUAUUCUCCCUCAAGACUCAGAAUUCUAGUACUCCUAAUGAACAUUUAUGUCCGUUGGGCAGUCCUGCUGCCAUCCUAAGCUACACAUACUGGGAAUGGAACUCAAUCAUCUUUUCUUUGCAAAUCAGUGUCUCUUACCAAUUUCUUUCAUUCUGUUUACCCAGUCUUCUAGGUUUGAAAUUUUGGGGUUGUUUUUAGGAUUUUGUAUUGCCUUCAUUUUCUUAAUUAAUCAGAGUCCUUCUAGUUCUAGUCUAGAAAUAUGUUUCAUAUCUGCCAUUCAUGUUCCACUAUGAUUUUGACUGUCUUGCAGUUCCUGAUAAUUUUAUGAAUAGAUUAAUAUAAUGCUGUUUAACUUAUUUUCUAUAUGCUUAAUUCAUUCUAGACAUAGCUGGAAGACAGAUCUUAAAUUAUAACUUUUUUUUUCCUAUAUGUUAUUCAAUGAAGAAUAAACCUAGUUUAGUAUUUCACUUGGUAAAGUGUAGUACGUCAUGCAUGAAUUGCAGCAUCAGGAUCACUUGUGAUAUUUGCCAGAGGUGGCCAUCCCACAUCACCUAAAUCAAAUCUCUGGGCAUGGAUUCUGGGAAUCAGCAUUUUUAGAAGGCAGCAUAAGUGAUUCCGAUGCACACUAACAUUUGAGAACUACUGGAAAGGAUAAAAUUCAACCUAAAAUUCAAAACCCUUUAACAUAUGGCCCUACCUUGUAUAUUCCAGUUUAUUUUUCACUAGUUCUAAUAUAAUCUUUUGCUCACUCUAACAGUCACUCUAGAUAUGCCACGAUCAAAUUGCUUCUGAGAAUUUGUUUAUAACCCCUUUAUUCAGAAUGCCUUAUUUUUUUUUUUUGCAUCCAUCCUUCAAGCCCUUCUUCUUUAUGGACUCUUUUAAGCUAUGUAUUAGUGAGCACCUACCAUUUAUGUCAGACACUUCAUGGAAAAUUUUUACUAUCCAUUAAGCAACCUAGGUAUAAUUGUUCCCAUUUUACAACCAAGGACAUUGAGACUUAGUGCAGUUAAGCAGCUUGCCCUAAGCCGUACAGGUAGUAAGGAGUAGAGUUUGAUUCAAAUCUAGGUCUAGGUUUGACGUGCUCCUCCCAGUGGUAGCUUUCAAGUUGGCUCUGUAGGCAGCUGCUUAACUAAAACCUACCUGGUUUUCUGUGUUUGUAUGCUAGGGCUUUCCCACAGGUCACUUUUAAAUACAGCUUAAAUAUUUUUAAAACCAUUUUAUGAGUUCUAUUAGGACAGCUAGGACAUUCAAAUGGAAAUUCAUUAGAUUAUUAUUUAACUGUUAAAUGUGUGUCAGCUUCUCUGUAGUUGAGCCAUAAGCUUCUUAGAGAACUGAAAGGAAAUUUUAAAAAGCCUAUCCCUUUCAUCACCCAGUGUGGUAGUGGUUGUAUUUAGUAUGUAUUCACCGAAUAUCUGCUCAGAUUAAGUAGAAUCCAGAACAGUGAAAGAUGUACUUUCAUUGAGUAGGAAUCACUGGUUCCAGAAAACAAGAAAUUGUUAGCAUCUGAGGACAAAGACUACCAGUUAUUUUAAUGUUUUUUUAGAGCAUUUUGAAGAAGAUGGAAACUUAAUAAAAUUUUAAUUAUCAUGUGUUUAUCUUCAAUUGGUGAUUAGAAAAUGUUUUCCAAACUUUUUGUGUUCAGCAUGAAAUAAAAACACAAAAUAAUUUUAUUAGCAGAAAAGUUCUACUAAUGUAACAUAAAACUACAAUGAAAUAUACAAUUUUGGGAUGUUAUCGACUAAAUAUCAUUAAGUUUCUCCUGCUAUAGAAUUUAAUACUUGUUUGUCCAUUGUAAAACAUGAAUAUUACUACCUUACAAUUUUAUCUAACCUUCAAUAUAUUUGUAGUUUAGGCCAAAAACAUCUAUGUUCUCAUGUCACAAAAAAACAUUUAGCUCAAGUGAAUUGACUUCCUCUAUCAUAAUCAACUCUAUGUAAUUAAGAAAUUACUAAACCUUGAAGAGGAACAAUCAAUAAAGUAAACAUUUUUGAUCCAUUACAUAUAAUGUUAACUCUCAAGCAUGUUUGGUGAAGCUAUGCUUUCAUAUAAUGCUUUCAAUGCAUUAUUAGAUAAGAAGACAAGUUCUCAGUAAGGUUGUGGUAUAUAAGUAUUAAUAAGCAUUGAAGGCCUAACAGCACUGGCUGUCAAAUCUGUGUGUAUUAAUGUGAAUUAAUGAGCUUUUCCUCUCCCAAGAGGAAAACAGUUUAUUACAGGUUAAACAAUGAUGAGCAAAACACAGGCAAUGCCAGUGUGAUAGAAAGCCUUCAAUUUAGAGAAGUGACCUUUAAAAGGGAUUGCAUAAAUAACCCCAAGAUAAUCAGUUGGUAUAAUAUUUUGGGUUUAGAGUUUAGAUGGUAGUAAAAGCGUGUUUAUUGAUUGGUUUGAUUUUUUAAAAUUGUACCCCUUGGGAAAUCACCUCAGUGCAGAAUUAAAGUGAAAACACAAUGAUAACAACAAAACAUGUAUAACUAAAACUAUCAUAGAAUGAAAUACUGGUUUGAAAAAAAUCACCCUUUUAAUGUCACGCUAUGGUGGAAAGUUAGGUAUUUUCAAUUCUCCAAAUUACACAGAGAAACUAGAAAGCACUGAUUAUGUGUCUAGUUGUUGGUGUGGAAAGGAUAAUACCUUAGGACUAUUAAACUAAUACAUUUCAUUUUUAGUAAUCCCUAGUUCCAAGUUGAUCCAAGGCUGUGUUUAGAAUCCUGCCAAGAGGACUCACAUAUUUGCUUUUAUAUUAUAGCAAAGAUAUCAUUCUAUCAUUUAGGCUGAGCAGUUAGGCUUAGCACCCAAAAGAAGGAAGAUUUGAUACUCUGGAAGACCUUGACAGAAGGAAAGUUAAAAAGCCUGUUCCUUCUGGUCUCAGAAUAUGUGAAAAAGAAUUAAUCAGACAUAGGUUUCUGACUUCCCUUCUCCAGGCUAACAAGUUUGCAAGAAAGCCAAAAAUAGAGUAGCUUUUGUUGAACUUUUCUUUUGGAAUGUUCAUAUGAAGUUGUCACUUAGGGUGGCUCUGUGUCAACAUGUGAAGUAAUACAUGGCAAUGGUAGAUGAAGGUGGCUACAAAGAUGAAUCUGAGGCAACGUACCUGGCUCUGAGAGUCCAGCUGUGUUUGGAGGGGGUGUUGCUGGGAAUUUGCCCAAAGUGGUUUGCUGCAGUAGUUGGUGAGGCCAGACAUUCAAUGGGAGUCACCUCUAAACUCCAUGAAGAUAGCUGCACAGGAAGUAAGAUUUAACUAGGGGUUGAAUCAGUGACAGUUGGAUGGGGUGGAGGUGAAGUGUCAGCAGGCCAUUACUGAGCAAAGAUAACAGACCUUAUAUUCCUUUGUAAAACAAUGGCAUAUCUAAGGAUUGCACCAGCCACCUCACAGUAGAGACCAGCACAAGGAUGGCAGGCUACAUGGAAGGGAAAAUCCCUUGAAUUCUGUAAGCUUUCCCCUAUACCCAGAUGUCAGCUUGGGAAGAGGAGGAUGAAAAGUACAACUCUGAAAUUGAGCUAAACUUUGAGUUGACUAAAUAUUUUACAUUACAGAGGUUGUUUAAACUGGAGCUAUCAAUUGGCCAUUUUGAGAUAAGUCCUUGUCCUCUCACUUCCUUCCAAAUAGGGUAGAAUAUUGAGAAGGAUAUUAAAUGGAGUUAUAGAAAAUAAAAUAGAAUUUUUUUUUUGCACAUUUCAUUAAUAGUAUAAAUUUGAGAAUUUGCUAGUGAAUCUGCUGUGCUUAUCCCCACUCCCCAAGUCCUCACUCUCAGCUGAGCUGGCUUCCUUUUUCUCUAAGAAAAUUGAAGUAAUCUGAAGGGAAUUUCCACAAGUUUUCAUCGCUACAUCUAUUUACUUAUAAAUUUCUGUGACCAUAUACUCUGUCUUCACAUCUGAGACAUUAGAGGAGCUGUCUGAUUCAUCCAAAGGCAACUCUUCUACUAGGACCUUAGAUCCUAUCUCCUCUUACCUAUUACAACUAUUCUCACCUCUCUUUUGAGUAAUCAAUUUUUUUCUUGUUACCAAUUAUUCCAUCAUAAAACAAACAUGGCUUAUCUCUGACCAUCGAAAACAAGUUCUCUCAAUACAAUCUCAUUCUUCUUCAUUCCCAUAUCUGUGUUUUCUUUAUAGCAAAACUUCUCAAAUACCUCCAAUAUCAUUCUUCAAGUUCUUUUAAAACUUACUACAAUAGGCUUUCACCCCAAUCAUUCCACUGAAACUACUCUUAUGAAGGUAACUAAUGACUUCCAUAUUGCUAAAUAAAAUGGAUAAUUCUUCAUCUUCCUCUGUCUUGACUCAUCAGCACUUAACACAGGCAAUCACUUUUCUUUUUUCUCUUCCUUGACUGGCUUCCACUUCCCAGUCUCUGUUAUUGGCACCUCCUCAUCUUUCCAACUUCUCAAUAUUGGAAGCUCUAAGAGUUCAGUCCUGGAAUGUUUUCUCUAUUUUGUCUACACUUACUCCUUUUGUGUUCUCAUUCAGUUUCAUGGUUUUUAAUAUUAUUUUAUUAUUUCUAUGUGGACAUCUCCCAAAUUUUUAUAUCCAGCCUGAAAAUGGGUCUUCUGAACUUUUACCUCCUAUAGUGAAUUGCCUACUCAACAACUCCACUUGGAUAUGUAAUACGUAUCUCAAAUGUAACAUGUACAAACAGAACCUUCCCCUUCUCAGCUGAUGAUAGCUACAUCCUAUGGUUGCUCAGGCCAAAGAGCCUUGGAGUCAUCAUUGAUUCCUCCUUUUCUCUGACAAUCUAUAUGAAAGCCAUCAGCAAAUCCUAGAAUCCAGCUCUGUCUCACUACCUCCACUACCACUGUCGGUUUUUAGUCUCUCAUCUUUGUCUCCCUAGAGUCUAUUCUUAGCUCAACCAGAGUGAUGCUUUGAAUGUAAGUUAUGUCACGUCUCUCCUCGGCUUAAAACCCUCAAAUGGCUACCUACGUCCCUCAGAGUAAAAACUAAAGUUUGUAUCCUGAUCUAUAAGUUCUUACAGUCUUCAUGGCCCCUCUCCCCCACCUCUUUAUCUCAUCUUUUACUACUUCUCAUUCUUACUCUGCAUAGCUGCACCAGUUUUCUGUCUCUCAAACACACUGGGUACAUUCUGAUCUCAGGGCUUUUGCCUUUGCUCCUCUUUCUUUCUGGAAAGCUCAUCCCUAAUUUCUGCAUGAUUCAAGCUCUCACAGUAUUUGUUUUUAUUUCUCAAAUGACACAUUUUCAGUAGGACCUUCCUUGACUACCCUAUUUAAAAUUACAAUCUCCACCCCUAAUAUGGCAUUUCUUAUCCUUUUUUCCUGCUUUGUUUUUCUCCAUAGCUUUUAUGACUUUCUGAUAUCCUGAACAAGUUAUUGAUUUUUUUUAAUAAUAAGGCUCUAUUUUAAUGUUGUGUGAAUUACCAAGAAGUAGAGAUUGACUGUAAUUUCCCAAAGACAGAACAUUCAUUUCACAGCUACACAAGAACAGGGCUACGAGUGAAAAGGCACCCUAAUUUGGGAUAGUGUGAAGAAACAUAGUUUGUGUUUUGGACAAUUUAUAGAGACAAAUUUCCAGGGGACCUAAGAAUACUGUUGGUCCAUAUGGAUAUAAAGUGAAAAAUGAAAGAACUCAUGCAAAAAUCUAUGCUAUCUUUAUUCUUCCUAGGUUAAUUAAAUCUCUAUUUAAUGCAAAUUUUAUAAGUGUAUUCUGCUGUUAUUGGAGAAAAUGAAUGUUUUCAAAGAAUUCCUAUGCUCCAACUUAUGAAACCAUACUCUGUCUAGACAAGGGCAUAGGAGAUAUUUCUAAAUACUAAUAAUAAACUCAGAAAAAGAGAUAAAACCAUCUUAUUUACAAUAGCAUAAAAAACUUAGAAAUAAAUUUAAACAAAGAAGUGAAAGAUCUGUACACAGAAAACUACAAAACAUUGAUAACAAUGGAAGAAACAUAAAUAAAUGGAAAGAUAUUCCAUGUUCAUGGAUUGGAAGAAUUAAUGUUGUUAAAAUGUUCAUAUUUACCCAAAGUGAUAUGUAGAUAUAAUGCAAUUCCUAUCAAAAUCCAAUGACAGUUUUCAUAGAAAUAGAAAAAAAAAUUCUAAAAUUCAUAUGGAACCACAAAAGAGGGAGGCAUUAUAUUACCUGCUCUCAAUAUUGACUACAAAGCUAUGGUAAUUAAAACAGUAUGGUAGUGGCAUAAAAACAGACACACAGACCAAUGGAGAAUAGAGAGUCCAGAAGUAAACCCAAACGCAUACAGUCAACUAAUUUUUGACAAUGGCACCAAUGAGAUGGCAUGGGGAAAGGUUAGUCUCUUCAGUAAAUGGUGCUGGGAGAAAAUAUCCACAGGCAAAAUAAUAAAAUCAGACCCUUAUAUUAAGGAAUGCAAAAAAACAAAAACAAAAACCUCAAAAUGGCUUAAAGACCUGCACAUAAGACCUGAAACUACAAAACCCCGACAAGAAAACAUAGGUGCAGAGCUCCUUGACUUUGGCCUUGGCAAUGAUUUUUUGCUUAUAGCUCCAAAAGCACAUGCAAUAGAAGCAAAAAUAAACAAGAGGGACUACAUCAAACUAAAAAGCUUCUGCACAGCAAAGGAAACAAUCAUCAAAAUGAAAAGGUAGCCUACAGAUUGGGUGAAAAUAUUUGCAAACCAUACAUCUAAUAAGGGGCUAAUAUCCAAAAUAUAUAAGGAACUCACACAACUCAAUAGCAAAAAAAAUGAAUAACCUGAUUAAAAAAUGGGCAAAGAACCUUAAUAAAUUUUUCCAAAGGAGACAUAAAAACAGCAACAGGUAUCUGAAAAGGUUCUCAACAUUACUAAUCAUCAAGAAAAUGCAAAUCAGAACUGCAAUGAGAUAUUACUUCACAUCUGUUAGGAUGGUUAUUAUGAAAAAGACAAGAGGUAGCAAAUGUUGGGGAAGGAGUGGAAAAAAGAGAACCUUUGUACACUGUUGGUGGGAACGUAGAUUGGUGCAGCCACUGUGGAAAACGGUAUGGAGGUUUCCUACAUAGUCCAAAACUAAAUAUAGAAUUACCAUAUCUCCAAAAUAUGAUAGAACUGUUAUAAUUCCAGAAAUUAAAUCUAGAACUACAAUAUGAUCCAGCAAUCCCACUUCUGGAAAUAUACCCCCAAGGAAAUAAAAUCUCCGCUCCUGUAGCUAGCUGCUGUCUCAUGUUAACUGCAGCAUUAUUCACAAUUGCCAAGAUAUGGAAACAAUUAAAGUGUCCUUUGAUGGAUGAAUAAAGAAAUUGUGGUAUAUAAUGAAAUAUUAUUCAGCCUUAAAAAAGGAGAUGCUGCCAUUUGUGACAACAUAGGUGAAUGUAGAGGAUGUUAUGUGAGGUGAAAUAAACAAUACAAAAAUACUGCAUGAUCUCAUUUAUAUGUGGAAUUUUUUUAAAAAAUGAAAUAUGUAGAAACAGUAGGACAGUGGUAUCAGGAGCUGGGAGAUGGGAGGUAGGAAAGUGUAGGCCAAAGGAUACAAAGUCACAAUUAUGCCCAACGAGUAAAUCUAGAGUCUAAUGUACAAUAUGAGGGCCAGGUGCAGUGGCUCAUGCCUGUAAUCCCAGCACUUUGGGAGGCUGAGGUGGGCGAAUCACUUGAGAUCAGUAGUUCAUGACCAGCCUGGACAACAUGGUGAAACCCCGUCUCUACUAAAAAUACAAAAAUUAGCUGGGUGUGGUGGUGGGCACCUGUAAUCCCACCUACUUGGGGGGCUGAGAGAGGAGAAUUGCUUGAACCCGGAAGGCGGAGGUUGCGGUGAGCCAGGAUUGCCCCGCUGGACUCCAGCCUGGGCAACAGAGUGAGACUCUGUCUCAAUAAUAAUAAUAAUAAUAAAUGUACAACGUGAGGACUAUAGUUAAUAAUAUUGUAUUAUAUACUGGUAAUUUGCCAAAAGAAUAAAUUUUAGAUACUCUUACCAUCAAAAAAAAAAAAAGAGAAAAGAAAGGUAACUGAGAUUAUAAUUUGCUAAACUGUAAUAAUCCAUUUACUAUGUGCGUGUUCAUUAUAUAUAUAUAUAUAUAUACACACACAUAUACAUAAACAUGUUGUAGCCCUAAAAUCUAUGCAAUAAAAUUUAAAAAAUAAAAACACCCAAGAUGUCUUUUCCUCCUAAUUAAAUUUAUAUUUGCUAUAAAUUUAAGUUUAUUGUCCCAUUCCAAGUGCUAGUGAAGGAUUUCAAAGAAGUCCUUUGUUCGAUGUUAUUAGCGAUAUCCUACUGUAUCUAUACCAAGGCAUGGGAGGCACUGACGAUUGCAACUAAGACUUACCAAACCACAGGGGUUCUCAAAAUUUAGGGUGGGUAAGAAUCACUUGGAGUAGGUUGGGAGUUGAAGAAAACUUGUUAAAAAUGCACAUUUCCUGGCUGUAACAUAAGGUAUUCUGAACCAAUAGAUUUGGGGCCUAAGUUGGUAAUCUGCAGUUUCAGUAUGCUCCUCUGGUGAUCUUGAACAGGUGGUCCAUCUCGCCUCCUUUGGGAAACACUGCACCAAUGUUUAUUAUCGUAGAAGAAAAUUACAUAGAAGAAAUCUAGAAGAAAUUUCAACGAAUUUUAGAACACUGAAGAAUUUAGGGGUCCAGAUAGCUUUCUUAUUUUUUUGUUGUUCAAAUCUUAUCUUUUGUAAGAGAAAUUUGAAUAGCUAGGGACAUUGGUGAUAUCAGAAACCUAGAUUUCACUUCCUCUAUCAUUGUUUAUAAAAUCAAAACGAUGGAGUCCUAAGAACAGACUAAAUUUAUUUUAUAAACACCAAAAGAAUGUAUUUGAUAGGAAACUAGCACCUGAUCAAAGUGAAUAUUGACAUGGAGGGAGAAAUUUCCUGAGAAGGCUGUAAAACUGGCGUUAUGUUAGUUUACAAGAAAAUGAAGCUGCAUGAAGAGGAUAUUUAUUAAAUAGUGAAACAUUAGGUCUCUCUGUUGUUUGAAUUAUUUACAGCAAACAAAAUACUUUUAGGUAAAAUAUGUAAACGAAUACGCAGAUAAGAAAAUGGACACAGGUUUUUUUCAUGCGUCUUGUAACCGUUUAAAGGAGACCAUUGGAUUUAGUGCUUAACCAAUAUAUGUUUUAUUGUGCAAACCAAGUAUUUGGAUAUUAAUAUUUUAAAAAACUGAUAAAGUCUUUAUCAACUUUUACUGAACACCAUAUUAUCUACUUGACUGUUACAUUGCUUUAAGAGUCCAGUCUCGACUCACCUGUGAUCCUAAGUGAAAAAUAAAUAACAUGAGAUCAUUAAAAUUUCCUACUGAGUUAAAUUCAGAUUGAAUCCAGAUAUCUAAAAGUAAAAGUCAAAGUAACACUAUCAUAAACAAUCUAUAUUAGCUUUUCAAUUAAUAAAUAAAUUUUUUUAGAGAUGGAGUCUAUAUUAUCCAGGCUGGUAUUUGACUCCUGGGUUCAAGCAAUCUUCCCAUCUCAGCCUCCCAAGUAGCUGGGACUGUAGACAUGCACCACUAUGCCUUGCUGACUAGAAUCUGUAUUAGAUUUUUAAAAAUAAACUUUUUUUUUUGAAUAAUCUGAGAUUUACAGAAAUGUUUCAAAGACAGUAUAAAGUUUUCGUUUUCCUCAUUUUUUCUCUUUUUUUCUUGAUUUAAUUGACACAUAACAACAAUAUAUUUAUAUGGUGCAAUGUGAUGUUUACUUAUAUGUAUAUGUUGUAGAAUGAUUCCUCUUAUGUCCCUUGCCCAGUCUCCCCUAAAGUUAACGUUGUAUAUCAUCAUAGUACAUUUUUGAAAACUAAGAAAAUAAGCUAGCCAUGGUGGCUCACACCUGUAAUCCCAGCACUUUGGGAGGACGAGGUAGGAGGAUCGCUUGAGUCCAGGGGUUCAAGACCAGCCUGGGCAAAAUAGGGAGACCAUGUAUCUACAAAAAAUACAAACAUUAGCUGGUCAUGGUGGCAUGUGCCUGUAGUCCCAGCUACUCAGGAGGCUGAGGUGGGAGGAUCACUUGAGCCCCAGAGGUUGAGGCUGCAGUGAAUUGUGUUUGCGUACUCCAGCUGGGGCAACAGAAUGAGACCCUGUCUCAAAACAAAAAACAACAUUGGUGCAUUGUUAUUAAUUAAGCCCUAGACUUUAUUUGGAUGUCACUGUUUUCCCGCUAAUGUCCUUUUGUUCUUUCAGGAUCCAAUUCACAAUACUUUUGGUACAUUGGCUGUAUAUAUAGAUGUAAAGGGCUGCAUAGGCUGUACACUGCACUACUCUGGGGGUGCCAUUUACAUUGCUGUGCCAGGCACUGUUCAUAAUGCUUUACAUCUAUUAACUUGUUUAGUCAUCACGGAAGCUCUAAAAGGUAGGCAAUAUAAUUAUCCCUAUUUUACAAGUAUGGGCAUUGAGGACAAAGAGAUUCGGUAACCUUAAAAGAUCACUUAGCUAGUAAGUGGAGAAACUGAGAUUCUAGUUACACAGCCUGUGCUCUUAGAGACAUUCCGAAUCGGCGAGCUUCCUAUCCCAACUGACCAGCUAUAAGAACACACUUCUUAUUCCAAGGAACUGACUGAUUGACCUUAAGCAAGUCACUCAAUCUCUCUGGACCUCUGUUUGCUCAUCCAUGAAAGUGUAGAAGUGGAUUACAUAAUCUAUACAAGUUUCCUACCUUUAAAACAAAUGUAUAACAUUGAAACAUGUAUCUUUAAAUUUAAUUUCCAGCUCAGAGACCUACUGCAUUUUUGUACUCUUGCCAAUCAACUUUUAAAAAAUAAAACGUUCAUUAAAAUCAGAAUAUUGAAUAUUAAAAUUCCAAUUAUAUUUUUAAGGAGGAUCUAUAUAUCACAUUGAGACACUUCUUUUUUUGCCUCGGGUUGUUAGCUUGUUGAUUUUGAAUUUUAUAUCAUGCUUUUGAAUACUACUCAAUUUUACAUAUGCCCUUUGUAUGCCAAUAAAACUAAACUAAAUGUCACUUCUUAUGUAGGAAUGCACAAGCAAAUAAACAGUAUAUAGCCACAUAUUUCAGUAGAUUAAACUCAGUUGAAAUUAUCCCACAUGCUGGCACUGUAAUAUGCUAUUGAUCUCAGAUUGCAUUUUCUGUUUCUUUAUAAUUGAAUUUUGUUCCCAAAUGAAAGAGCAUGUUCAUUUUCAGUUUGUGUUUAGUGAAACAAAAACUGCAUCUGGGAUCAGUUUCAUCAUGUGCCCAAUGGAGGACUAAGUAUGAAGUAUACCACCUUCUUGGAAGAGAUUGUUUUUCCCUGAAAGUGCUAAAUUUUAGAUCUGAACUGCCAUAAAAAUUCUUCAUGAUUAUAUCCACAAAUCAGGAUAUACACAAAACUAUGGAUUUUUCCCCUAUGAAUGACAAGUAAUGGAAGAUAUGCUGUAAUUACAUAAAUUAACCCAUCUCUAGAGACUAAGGGAAAUUAAGAUCGAAGGAAGUAGGACAGAGGGCUUAAAAAUAAAACAAAAAAGACCUUAAAAUAGAAAAUAGUAUGCCAAAACUAGAGGUGAUUUUCUUUCUAAUGCUAGACCUUCCUUUGAUUCUUUUAAUUACAAUGAGACGGAAAUUUUAGGACACUAAGGGAGACAGAUUAUUCAAAGGCUUUUGCAUGCCCUUUAUUCUCUUUCAAAUACAAUACUCCCCAUAAUAGUGUAAUACUAUUAAUCAUACUGCUUUCAGCCCUCUACCUGAAGGUGACAGUCUUCAGCUGUUCCAGAAGGUCCUGGGUCCCAAAGUUCCUGUUACUCACUGCUGAUUGGGCACAGAUGAGAGUGCCUAGUUUUCAUUCAGCAGCCUGUUGUGGGUACAGGGUUAUGGCUGCAAUGAAGCAGGGCCUUUCUGAUCCUUUUUAUUACUCUUCUUUCAUGGGGGAGGAGAGAGAUAAAGUGCCUACAGUAAAAUGCAGUUGCAAUACAUUCACUCUCACAACUCAUUUUUCAAACCCCAGGGAAGACUUCCCUACAUCUCUUGACCUAAGUCCUUGAAACAAAAUGCAGCUGCAUCCUUAUGCUGUGAAAUUUGUGUGUGGUGGUGGUGUUCACAUCGGAGAAGGACACUGCUUCAAAGCAUGGGGAGAAUGUGAGCAGAGCAAACACUUAAGUGGGAGAAAGGCAGAUUGACUUUCCAAAUUCUUCCAAUCGGAAGGCAUGAAUGCUGAUCCCCACAGUGCCUAGUGUCAUUUUCUUGUUUCACUUGGUGUCCAGCAUGAGAUUUUGGAAGUACUUAUGUGUUAGUAAGGUAUUCUCAAUGGUUGCACAUGGUUGGUGAGAAAUAUUUUGCAAUGGUGAGCAAUUUAUUUUUCAAUGUGUGUCUAUUUAGGUAUGUAUGAAUGUAGGUAUUACAUUUAUCUGCAUGUAUGUAUUCUUAAAUUUUUAUUAAAAAUUAAACAAUCUUAAAUGUAAUAUGUUUUAAGCAUAACACAUUGGCAGCUAGCACAUUAGCAUUGAAUAUUAGAAUUAUAGAUGCUUUUAUUUUCUAAAGUAUUUAUUUUAUUAAAAACUCUUUUUUUUUUUUUUUUUUAAAGAAAUGGGGGUCACUUUAUGUUGCCCAGGCUGGACUUGAACUCUUGGGCUAAAGCAAUCCUCUUGCCUCAGUCUUCCAAGUAGUUCUGGGAUUACAGGCACUGCUAUUUUUCUAAGUAUUUAAUAAUAUUAAUUAAAUUUUCAAAAAGUUAGGCAAAAAAUUAAUUUUAAAUAACUGUGAUUUAAAAAUCGAUUCUGUUAAUAUGUGUACCUUUUAAUUUUAAGAAAUAGUUUUGAAUAUUUUAAGAGAGAAAUAAACUAUUUGAAAAUAUGAGCCAAAUGGUUAAUAUUGAGUGUCAACUUGGUUGGAUUGAAGGAUGCAAAGUAUUGUUCCUGGGUGUGUCUGUGAGGGUGUUGCCAAAGGAGAUUAACAUUUGAGUCAGUGGACUGGGAGAGGCAGACCCACCCUCAAUCUGAGUGGGCACCAUCUAAUCAGCUGCCAGCGGGCUAUAAUAAAGCAGGCAGAAGAAGUUGGAAGGACUAGACUUGCUGAGUCUUUUGGCCUUCAUCUUUCUCCCAUGCUGGAUGCUUCCUGCCCUCAAAUGUCAGGCUCCAAGUUCUUCAGGUUUUGGACUCUUGGACUUACACUAGUGAUCUGCCUGGGACUCUGAGGCCUUCGGCCACAGACAGAAAGUUGCACUGUCUGUUUCCCUACUUUUGGGAUUUUGGGACUGCCUUCCUUGCUCCUCAGCUUGCAGAUGGUCUGUAGUGGGACUUUACCUUCUGAUCGUGUGAGUCAAUACUCUUUCAUAAACUCUCCUUCAUGUAUACACUUAUCCUAUUAGUCCUGUCCCUCUAGAGAAGCCUAAUACAAUGAGGAAUAAUUUAAUUUUUCAGUUUUUUAGCACUUAAUUUAUAUUUUUGGUGCAAAUAUAUCCACAUUUGAACACUUUGAAGACAAUUACAUUUACUUUUUAAUUCUUUAAAUAAUUGAGGGUGAAUACAAGUCAAAAUUGUGAUAAAAAUAGAUUGAGUAGAAAUAGCAAUCAUUUGGUUAUGCAUGCCUGUAGUUUCAGCUACUCAGGAGGCUGAGGCAAGAGGAUCCCUUCAGCCCAGGAGUUCAAGGCUGUAGUGCACUAUGAUCAUGCCUGUGAAUAGUCACUGCACUCCAGCCUAGACAAUCUAGCGAGACACCAACUCUUAAAAAAAAAAGACAAAAUUGACUAUCACUUUUUAAGCACUUCUCUCAGAAAUGAAGCUCAGGAAAGAAGAAAAUUGGGGAAAAAGCUGGGGUUGGGGGGAAUAGAAAGACUUGCUUCCGACAAACAGAAUAAGGCAAAAUGAGAGUGUUAUGUCUUCUGAGGACCAGGUUGCAAAGAUAGUGUGACUUCUUUCUUUUGGAUCUCUUGCUCUGUGGGAAACUAGCUGCCAUGCUUUGAGGACACUCAAGCAAUUCAAUGGAGAGAACAUACAGCAAAGAACUGAAGCCUCUUGCCCACAGCUACAUGGGUCAGCCAUUUCAGAAAUGAGUCCUGUGGCCUCAUUUCAGCCUGGAGGAGACUGUAGCCGCAGUUGACAUGUGAACCUUCUGAGAGACUGAGCCACGAUGACCCAGUUUAGCUGCUUCCAAAUUCCUGACCUACAGGAAUUAACAACAAAUAUAUAUUGUUUUAAGCUGCUAUAUUUUUGAAAAUUUUGGUUAUGUGGGAAUAGGUAAUUAAUACAACCUGUUUUAAUCUAUUCUCAUAACAGCAACCAAACCAUGUUUUAAAAAUAUGUCAGAUCAUUUUGUCCAGUUUUUUUCAUCAAAGAGAAAAAGUCAGAUCAUGGACUUCUCACAACUGUCCUAUGGCUGUCCAUUUCCCUCAGAGCAAAAUCCAAAGUCUUUAAUGGCCUUCAAGAUCUGGCCCCUUCUCUCACUGUUCCCUCACUGACCUCAGCUCCUCCUUUCUCUCUCACUCAGCUUCAGCCACCCUCUUCUCUUUGAUCUUCCUCAAACAUCCCAGGAAUGCUCCCACUUUAGAACUGUUGUACUUGUGGUUCCUGCCAACCAAAAUCCCAGAUAGCCACACAGCUAACUUCCUCAUUUCUUUCAAAUCAGCUUAAAUGUUACUGUUCCAAUGAUGUAUAUACUCUGAUCACUCUAUUAUAUUUAAAAUCGCACUGCUAUCUCUUGCUUUGGGACCCCUCAUGCCAUUUGUCAUGCUUUAAUUCACACUAACAUAUAAUUUCCUUUUUAAUGUUUAUAUUAUAUAAUGCUUAUUUUUUACUGUUUUCUUCUCCCAAAUCGCAGGAAUUUUUGUUACUUUGUUUAUUGAUAUAAACAAAAACUUGCCUAAAAUCGUGCAUGGCAGAUAGUAGGUGCUCAAUAUAUGUUUGUUGACUGAUUUCCUCAUUCCCAGCACCUCACUUUCAAAGCACAUCCCUCAAUAGCAGGCACUCAUUCAGUUUAAGGCACUGAAUCCUAAGGCUUGUAUGAUCCAUCUGAGGCUUUUGAAGAAUAUAUGCAAACACCAUAAAUAUGGCCAUCAUUCAUUCAUUCACUCAAUAAAUAUUUUUUCUUGAAUGCUUUUUAGAUUACAGGCAUUUUGCUUGGUACUGAGGAUACAAACAUAAAUAAAACACAGUUAUGAUCUAAAGAAAGUUAUAGUUUAAUAGGAAGAAAAAGCAAACAGUUCAUUACAGGAAAUGGGAAAGGGUGGUAAGUUAAAGAUGCUUUGGGGAUACCUAAGUAGAGAUAUAUUUGUCUAUAGAGUUUAUGGGAGAGGUUUGGGCAAGACGUAUAUUUGGUUGUCAUUGUCAUAUAGGAAGUGAAUGAAGUCACUCAGGAAGAAUAUACACAAUGGAAAUAGGAGGUCCAGAAUCAAAUUUUGAGAAAUAUUUGCAGUGAGAAGGAGAGGAUGUAGUUACAGAGGCAGUUAAAAGUAUUUUUGUUCUUUUCCUUUUGGGCAUGGGAUAGGAUUGCAUUUCUCUGGUCACCGUGAAGUUAUAACCACAUUGCUAGCUUUGGCCAAUGGAAUGUUACCAGAAAUGAUGUGUGUAACUUCUCGGCACAGGCAAUACACCAGUCAGCCGGUUCCCUUCUCCUUGGCUUGAUGAUUUGAAAUGCAUUUGUCAGAGGCAUUGGAACCAGAGCAACUCCAUCUUGAAUGGGGACUGGAUAAAAUGAGGCUGAGACCUACUGGGCUGCAUUCCCAGAUGGUUAGGGCAUUCUAAGUCACAGGAUGAGAUAGGAGGUCGGCACAAGAUACUGAUCAUAAAGACCUUGCUGAUAAAACAGUUUGCAGUAAAGAAGCCAGCCAAAACCCACCAAAACCAAGAUGGUGAUGAGAGUGACCUCUGGUCAUCCUCACUGCUACUUCCCAUCAGCGCCAUGACAGUUCAAAUGCCAUGGCAAUGUCAGGAAGUUACCCCAUAUGGUCUAAAAAGAAGAGGCAUGAAUAAUCCACCCCUUAUUUGGCAUAUCAUCAAGAAAUAACUAUAAAAACGGGUAACCAGUAGCCCUCAGGGUUGUUUUAUGGAGUAGCUAUUCUUUAUUCCUUUACUUUCUUAAUAAGCUUGCUUUCACUUUAUGGACUUGCUCUGAAUUCUUUCUUGCACGAGAUUUAAGAACCCUCUCUUGAGGUCUGGAUCGGGACCCCAUUCUGUAACAUGUUGACAUGGAGCCUCUGUCAACCUGUUUUCCUUAGUGAUUAUCAAUAGUGAAACUCCUCAAGACCUGUCUUGGUCUUGUAGUGUGGGUGAGACAUACACUUUUGUUGGGUUAGGCCACUGACCUAUUUGUUACCACACCAUAACCAAGUCUAUCCUAAGGAUUCAAGGAGAGUCUUAGGAAAAGAAGACUUUAUUUUUUAUUUUAUUUUAUUUUUUUUUGAAACAAGAAGGGGACUCUUGUUUUAUUUAGAAGUAAUUUUAGAUUUUUGAAAAGUUGCAAAAACAGCACAGUAGUUUCCAAUAUAUACCCCUCACCCAGCUUCCACAAAACCACGGGCCGAUGAUUAAAACCUGGAAAUUAACAAUGAUCCUGUCCUAUUAAUAGACUGCACUAAAAUCUCACCAGUUGCUCCACUCGUGUUUUUUCCUUGUCUAGAUCUUACUCACAUUUAGGUGUCAUGUCUUGUUUGUCUUCCCCAGUCUGGGAUGGUCCCCAGUCUUUUUCUGUCUGUCAUUACUGUGAUGCUUUGGAAGAACUCAGGCCAGUGGCUUUGUGGCACAUCUCUCCUUUUGGGUUUCCCUGAUGGUUUCUCAGGAUUAGUUGGAGGUUCUGCAUUCUUGGCAGGACCCCCAUGGAGUGAUGCUGUGUCCUGAGUAUUUCAUCAUGUGGAUGUGUCCUCAUACAGGUGACAUUAACUCUGAUCGCUUGGUUAAGGUGCUGUCUGCCAGGUUUCUGCACUGGAAAGGUACUAUUUUUUUUUUUUUUUUUGGUCAAAGGAGCAGGGUAUAAAAGGCAGGGCAUGAAAUCUGAGAGCAGGCAUGCAUCAGGAAUUAGGAACCAGGAACUGGGAGCUGAGGCUGCUGCUCUCUGAGGAAAAGGAGACUUUCAAGAAGAUUUAAAAAGAAUGGAGAAAGAAGAUUCAAGAAGAUGAAGAUGUCAAAUGCCUCAUUGCAAAAUAUAGAUUGGAAAGUGUUCCUUUAAUUUGGCAUUUUGUGGGUCAUUUGUGAUUUUGGUAAAUUAUGCAAUGUGAAAAAAUAGACAGUUUCUUUCAAAUGGCAAGCAAUUAAAGAAAAAAAAGUCAUAAGUGUGGGCUGUAGCAACAGUGAGGCUCUUAUUGUUGUCAUUGUCUGACAGAAAUCUGAACUCUGAUCCCACAAAUUUCUCUGCUCCCUUUUCCCUGCUCACUUUGAACUGAAGAACCUCUUUACUCCUUCCUUCCUUUCCCUCCCUCUUAUCUCCUUGCCUCCCUGUAGAUUCCAUCACAGCUUCCUCCAUCCUUUUUUUUCAAUUAUACUUUAAGUUCUAGGGUACAUGUGCACAACUUGCAGGUUUGUUACAUAUGUAUACAUGUGCCAUGUUGGUGUGCUGCACCCAUUAACUCGUCAUUUACAUUAGGUAUAUCUCCUAAUGCUAUCCCUCCCUCCACCGCACAACAGGCCCCAGUGUUUGAUGUUCCCCUUCCUGUGUCCAUGUGUUCUCAUUGUUCAAUUCCCACCUAUGAGUGAGAACAUGCGGUGCUUGGUUUUUUGUCCUUGCGAUAGUUUGCUGAGAAUGAUGGUUUCCAGCUUCAUCCAUGUCCCUACAAAGGACGUGAACUCAUCCUUUUUUAUGGCUGCAUAGUAUUCCAUGGUGUAUAUGUGCCACAUUUUCUUAAUCCAGUCUAUCAUUGAUGGACAUUUGGGUUGGUUCCAAGUCUUUGCUAUUGUGAAUAGUGCAGCAAUAGACAUACGCAUGUGCCUUUAUGGCAGCAUGAUUUAUAAUCCUUUGGGUAUAUGCGCAGUAAUGGGAUGGCUGGGUCAAAUGGUAUUUCUAGUUCUAGAUCCUUGAGGAAUUGCCACACUGACUUCCACAAUGGUUGAACUAGUUUACAGUCCCACCAACAGUGUAAAAGUGUUCCUAUUUCUCCACAUCCUCUCCAGCACCUAUUGUUUCCUGACUUUUUUUUUUUUUUUUUUUUUUUUUGAGACGGAGUCUCGCUCUGUCGCCCAGGCUGGAGUACAGUGGCGGGAUCUCGGCUCACUGCAAGCUCCGCCUCCCGGGUUCACGCCAUUCUCCUGCCUCAGCCUCCCAAGUAGCUGGGACUACAGGCGCCCGCCACUACGCCCGGCUAAUUUUUUUGUAUUUUUAGUAGAGACGGGGUUUCACCGUUUUAGCCGGGAUGGUCUCGAUCUCCUGACCUCGUGAUCCGCCCGCCUCGGCCUCCCAAAGUGCUGGGAUUACAGGCGUGAGCCACCGCGCCCGGCCCCUGACUUUUUAAUGAUCGCCAUUCUAACUGGCAUGAGAUGGUAUCUCAUUGGGGAACAUCUUAAAAGAAAAGCAUAUAAUUGCCAUUUGCACUUCCUCACCUCUUUAUCCACUCUUCAGCCUACUGCAAAUUGACUUUUGACCUCUUUAAUCUACUGAAAUGGCUCAUGCAAAGAGACUUUUUAUAAAAAUCACAUAUAAUUUAGAUUUUUUAUUUUCUGCAUAAAUCUCUUUAAUUUUAUGUGAUAAUACAGUGCAUGAUUAUUUGUUGAGCCGUUAAUUUUGUAUUAGCCAAAGAGAAAGUUGAACCUGUCAGUUAAACUGGGUGGAAUAAGAAAUAAUAUUUUAAAAUUAGCAGUAAAUAGAAACUUGCACAAUAAAAAUAUUUUUGUGUCACUUGAAAUAUUACCAUUGGUUGCAAGUUUUAAAGAUGUAAAAGGUGUCUUCUUUCACGUUCACUUUUUUUUUCAGUAGAGAUACUGACUGCAGGCAGCUUGCCUCUUUUGUUUUUUUGGCUUAUAGUCACAGUAUUUGAGCACAAAUUUAAUGAAGCAUUGUUUAAUUGAGACUUCCCUGUAGUGACACAACAAUAUUGCAAAUUUUUUUCAUAGGCAUUUCCUCACUUAAUUCUCAAACAAGUUUUGUCUUUUUUUUUUCAUCACGAUAUCUGUAGACAGGAUCAAACAACUUUUGAAGGGUAUUUGAUUUCCCCCUAUUUACAGAUUUAAGAAACUGAAACUCAAAAGAGACAAAUUGCCACAUUCAUCCUGCCACAGGGUGUGUGUGUGUGUGUGUGUGUGUGUGUGUGUGUGUGUGUGUGUGUGUGUGUUUUCUGACUCUAAACGUAGAGCAGUUUCUACUAUGCCCCAGCCACUUGGAUGUAGUAUGUGUACAAAAGUGACAACACGAUAUAGUGAUUCUUCAAAGUAGGUUUAUUGUUCUAAUUGACAUUUUUCUUCAAACAUUAUAGGAUUAUACAUUUCCAACAAUUUUAAGCAAUUUUGAUGCUUAUCAAAAUGUUGUAUAUUUAAUAAGUUUUUGCAUUAAAUGAGUUUAGGUUGGCAAUAAGGAACCACCAUAUACUUUAAUAGAUACUAUUUCAUACCACAGUUGUGUUGUCUUUAAUACAGAGAUGAGUGUUUAAUACUCUUUUGCAAUGGGAAGAAGUUAAAGGAGUUUGAGUUAAAAUAGUGAGAGAAAUAAUUGAAUAUGAUUGUUACCUUAAAUAUAGCCACAGUCUGUUGAUUUAAGCUUCAGUUAGUCCUAACAUAUUCAACAUAUUCAUAACAAAAUUUUUUGGGCAUCUCUGGCUCAUUUAUUAAUACCUAUGAACCUGCAAAACACUGCUGUAUUUGUAAGACUGAUAUGUAUGGGAUAAUGUAUGCGAUAAGCAAAAAUCUUAGUUUUCUAGCUAGCUUUUGAAAUGAAAGUAAUGGAAACAUGACUACUCAGAUUUAAAAAAACCAGGCUUUACCUUUCGUAGUUCAAUUUAUAUUAGUACAAAUUCUUCUCAAAGGUGGUCUCCUUGAGAAGGUGCACAGGCUACUGGAAAUAGUGAAGACAGUAAUAAGAAGAAGAUUAACUGGCUUACUUACCAAGAAAAUGAAUUCAGGAAAUUUGAUUCUCGUAGAGAUCUAGAACAAGCAAACAGGAUGAACAACCACUUAUUUUGGAAUAGUGUAUUUAAAUUUGAGAAAGAGUGAUCUUUUCUUUCUCCGAAGGGUUAAGAAUGUGAUCAAAAGCCUGGAGCUGAAAGAAGGAUAAUAUGUAUGGGAGACAGUGAGGACACUUGCCUGACCAGAGCAGGUGAACACCUAUGUACAAUAAAGCUAGAUUGUAGUGGCUGCAGUGGGUGUUGAAAUACAUGUUGAAUGCAACAAAGAGGUAUUAAAAUUUCUUGAAUGUUAAUAGAUUGGCCUAAUCCUGGGUUUUAGGCAGAGCAUCCUACAACCUUAACAAAUGGUGAAUUUGGAAGCAACUAGACUCAGGGAGAUCAGCUAUACUGUUUUGUAGAAUUUUGAAUUUCAUAAGCCAAUAAAGCUCCUAGAAAAUUCUUAAGGACUAACAUAUGGUUAUCAAUUAUUUAUCUUGAAGGAAAGAAUAUUUUAAAAACCCCAACAACAAAAUAUAAACAGUAAAUUACCACAUACUAUCUUCACUGUUUCAUACAGGAAUGAAAUUUUAACAUCAAAUCAGCAGGAAGGACAUACUCCCAGAGUAAAGGACACAACACUAAGAUGAAUAAACUUGAUGUUCUUAGAGACCUACCACAUUGCCUCUGUUUUCUCACUUUCUCCUCUACCUGUAACUCUGUGAUAUAGCUGCACAGAUACUCAGAAUGAUAGCUGAGAUCCACUGAGCUAAGAGAAUACCGUAAUUACUCAGGCAUAACAUAAUGAAAACCUGGGAAAGAAGAAGAAAGAAUAAGAGAAGGAAGGGAGAGGAUGGAAGAAUGAUAGCCCAUGGCAACAGAUUGAAUAUAGAAAGUAAAAGAAGAAAGUGAAAGCUACCUGCAAAAAUUAUACUAUGAUCUCAUGUCGUUUUUUGUUUGUUUGUUUUGUUUUGUUUUGUUUUUUGAGACGGAGUCUCGCUCUGUCUCUCAGGCUGGAGUGCAGUGGCGUAAUCUCGGCUCACUUCAAGCUCCACCUCCCAGGUUCAUGCCAUUCUCCUGCCUCAGCCUCCCGAGUAGCUGGGACUACAGGCGCCCGCCACCACGCCUGGCUAAUUUUUUGUAUUUUUAGUAGAGAUGGGUUUUCACUGUGUCAGCCAGGAUGCUUGUAUUGUUUUUAAUAGUCAGUAUUGCACGUAACACUGCCCUAAUUCAUCUCUUAACAGAGUCUGUGGGUUGUCAUAUCAAUUGAUUGAUGUCUUGCUGUCUUCUUUUUCAGGACCAGAAACCAGAAAUGCAAUUUGCCAAGCAUAUGAAGAAUAUGUUUUUACUGGUUUUUGAUAACUUAAAAUACUUCUUCAUCUAAAACCAGGCUGAUCUUGAGAAAGAUUUUAAAGGAGAUUAGAAAAUUCACUUUAACAAACCACUAUCAUAUAGUCACAUCAAUCUUUCGUAGAUAUUUUUGCAAACAAUUACCAGAAUUCUUAGAGUUUAUUACAGAUAUUUUGUUCUUGACCUUUGACACUUGCCAUUUAGCAAUUGCAUGGUUUUACUUUUGUGGUUGUAGAGUUUCUGUUUUUCUUUCAUUAGAAUGAUGUAAGUAGAGGAAUAGAAACUGUUAUAUUUGCAAAAAAAGAGCAAAGAUGCUUUGUGACCUUGGGAAUUAUAUUUGAAGGUUACUCACAAGAGAAUACCUUGUUUAGGAAAGAUGGUUAAUUUUUUUCUUGCAAGCAGACUUUUUUACAAAAUUAGUUAAUGGCAAAUGUGUUCUUUGCUGAAUAUUAAUCUAUAGUAUCAUUUAAGAUGUUCUUAAUUUAUGUUUCUGGACUUUGUUUAAAUGUCAAACUCUAGAAAGGGUAAACUAGCUCACCCCACUGCUAGGUAAUAGCUAGUAUUGUCUUCGCUGCAGGGCAUUUUACAGUAAAAUUUUGAAGUAUAUUGAAAAAAGUUACCAGUUCACUUACUAUACAAUAGCUUGGAAUGUGAAUGUCUGAAAGAAGAAAAAUUCAAUAAAUGACUAUGUAGUUAUUUGGUGGAAUUCACAACAUAAUAACAAGAAAAGGUUUUCAGCUUUGAUCAUAAUGGAAAUGAGUCAUUUAAUUUUACCCUCAGUCCUGGUACACAGUUUCAGCACCUGCUAAGAAGUCGGCUUGCAUUUAAAUGACUUAGGCAAUUAUUAAAAGCAAGUUUCAAGAAAUAAAUGGCAUUUAUAUAAAAAGGAGACUGGGCUCAAACUGCUAGUGCUUUAAAUUUCCAUAAAAGCAAAUUCAAGUUCAGAACAGGAUUCAGGAUUUAGUAACAAUUCAAAGGUUUUCAAUCCCUUAAUCUCUUUGUGAUAACUAUAUUCAUCAUGUAGCCAUUUUUAAAAGGAAGAGAAUAAAAAUGUUAACAUUGAUGUCUACCAGCACUUGUGACUGAAAAAUUGAUUAUAUAUGGUAAAUACUUAUGGCUCCAAAUAGCUAUUUGAUUUAUAAUUUUGGUAUUGAAAUGUAAUGAAAUACUUCUAUUGUAUUUGCAAUCGCUGGAAGAGUAGUAUGAAUCAUACUUCAAAUAAAAAUGCUUCUUUUUAUCAUUUUUCCCAAA